Molecule: transfer RNA, 72 nt
Organism: Ipomoea nil (Japanese morning glory)
Lineage: Eukaryota; Viridiplantae; Streptophyta; Magnoliopsida; Solanales; Convolvulaceae
Rfam family: tRNA
About the family: Transfer RNA (tRNA) molecules are approximately 80 nucleotides in length.
Source: Rfam
GUCGUUGUAGUAUAGUGGUGAGUAUCCCUGCCUGUCACGCGGGAGACCCGGGUUCGAUCCCCGGCAACGGUG